UCUUUGCUGAUGGGGACAUUGAGGCUCGU
Molecule: non-coding RNA, 29 nt
Filed under: Callithrix jacchus (white-tufted-ear marmoset)
Lineage: Eukaryota; Metazoa; Chordata; Mammalia; Primates; Cebidae
Also listed under: 1 other name
Source: RNAcentral